RNAcentral lists this unclassified non-coding RNA (436 nucleotides) under Hevea brasiliensis (rubber tree). Lineage: Eukaryota; Viridiplantae; Streptophyta; Magnoliopsida; Malpighiales; Euphorbiaceae. The record is from RNAcentral.
UGACCCAAUACAUUCAAACUAGAAGCUUUAGUCAUGUGUGCCAAUGAUCUAUACAUAGAAGCUCAAACCCUAAGCAAAAAGAUUUCAACUAACAAGACCUAAACCAUCUAGAAAAUGGAGACUGUUAACAUCCAUAGCACUAAACAAGAAGGGUAUGUAAAAAAGGGCUACUGCAUACAGCAUGAACACCCAUCGCUUUGCGCGUGCACUCGUGAAAACAUCAAAAUAAAAAUAGUAAAAACCUCAAUAUAGAAACCAAAUCUAUAACAUAAGCGUCACACUAAUAAUAUACAAAUCCAGCGCUUCCCGUCAUUUUCCAGACUGCACAUAUGCCAGAGCUGCAUCUCCAAAGCUGUUGCUUUGUCUUUAGGUGUGAUUUGAGGUGAAAUUGACCCAACUUCACUGAUCUUUGGUUAAAAGGGUAGUACAGACUUGA